RNAcentral lists this ribosomal RNA (454 nucleotides) under uncultured Porphyromonadaceae bacterium. RNAcentral's name for it is "bacterial SSU rRNA". It matches the Rfam family "Bacterial small subunit ribosomal RNA", at positions 341 to 792 of the family's 1533-position model. Lineage: Bacteria; Pseudomonadati; Bacteroidota; Bacteroidia; Bacteroidales; Porphyromonadaceae. The record is from RNAcentral.
ACGGGAGGCAGCAGUGAGGAAUAUUGGUCAAUGGGCGAGAGCCUGAACCAGCCAAGUCGCGUGAAGGAUGAAGGUUCUAUGGAUUGUAAACUUCUUUUGUUCGAGGGUAAAGUGAGGGAUGCGUCCCUUAUUGCAAGUAUCGAACGAAUAAGCAUCGGCUAACUCCGUGCCAGCAGCCGCGGUAAUACGGAGGAUGCGAGCGUUAUCCGGAUUUAUUGGGUUUAAAGGGUGCGCAGGCGGCCCGUUAAGUCAGCGGUGAAAUGUCGGGGCUCAACCCGGGCACUGCCGUUGAAACUGGGGGGCUUGAGUACGGAUGAGGUCGGCGGAAUGUGACGUGUAGCGGUGAAAUGCAUAGAUAUGUCACAGAACACCGAUUGCGAAGGCAGCCGGCCAAUCCGCAACUGACGCUCAUGCACGAAAGCGUGGGGAUCGAACAGGAUUAGAUACCCUGGUA